Molecule: ribosomal RNA, 253 nt
Filed under: uncultured bacterium
Lineage: Bacteria
Description: partial 16S ribosomal RNA
Rfam family: Bacterial small subunit ribosomal RNA
Source: RNAcentral
UACGAAGGGGGCUAGCGUUGCUCGGAAUCACUGGGCGUAAAGGGUGCGUAGGCGGGUCUUUAAGUCAGGGGUGAAAUCCUGGAGCUCAACUCCAGGACUGCCUUUGAUACUGAGGAUCUUGGGUUCGGGAGAGGUGAGUGGAACUGCGAGUGUAGAGGUGAAAUUCGUAGAUAUUCGCAAGAACACCAGUGGCGAAGGCGGCUCACUGGCCCGAUACUGACGCUGAGGCACGAAAGCGUGGGGAGCAAACAGG